This 454-nucleotide ribosomal RNA is filed under the name uncultured bacterium. RNAcentral's name for it is "partial 16S ribosomal RNA". It matches the Rfam family "Bacterial small subunit ribosomal RNA", at positions 28 to 507 of the family's 1533-position model. The record is from RNAcentral.
GAUGAACGCUGACAGAAUGCUUAGCACAUGCAAGUCAACUUGAACUUCGGUUUGGGUGGCGGACGGGUGAGUAACGCGUAAAGAACUUGCCUCACAGAUAGGGACAACAUUUGGAAACGAAUGCUAAUACCUGAUAUUAUGAUUAUAUGGCAUCGUAUAAUUAUGAAAGCUAUAUGCGCUGUGAGAGAGCUUUGCGUCCCAUUAGCUAGUUGGAGAGGUAACGGCCCACCAAGGCGAUGAUGGGUAGCCGGCCUGAGAGGGUGAUCGGCCACAAGGGGACUGAGACACGGCCCUUACUCCUACGGGAGGCAGCAGUGGGGAAUAUUGGACAAUGGACCAAGAGUCUGAUCCAGCAAUUCUGUGUGCACGAUGAAGUUUUUCGGAAUGUAAAGUGCUUUCAGUUGGGAAGAAAAAAAUGACGGUACCAACAGAAGAAGUGACGGCUAAAUACGUG